CAGCCGCCACGGGAAAACGAAGGGGGCUAGCGUUGUUCGGAAUCACUGGGCGUAGAGGGUGCGCAGGCUGGUUCUUAAGUCAGGGGUGAAAUCCCGAGGCUCAACCUCGGAACGGCCUUUGAUACUGGGGAUCUUGAGUCCGGAGAGGUGAGUGGAACUGCGAGUGUAGAGGUGAAAUUCGUAGAUAUUCGCAAGAACACCAGUGGCGAAGGCGGCUUACUGGCUCGAAACUGACGCUGAGACGCGAAAGCGUGGGGAGCAAACAGGAUUAGAUACCCCAGUAGUCCCUGUCUCUUAUACA
Molecule: ribosomal RNA, 301 nt
Filed under: uncultured bacterium
Lineage: Bacteria
Description: partial 16S ribosomal RNA
Rfam family: Bacterial small subunit ribosomal RNA
Source: RNAcentral